UUCUCUUUUUCUUGACCUUGU
Molecule: non-coding RNA, 21 nt
Filed under: Arabidopsis thaliana (thale cress)
Lineage: Eukaryota; Viridiplantae; Streptophyta; Magnoliopsida; Brassicales; Brassicaceae
Source: RNAcentral